UACGAAGGGGGCGAGCGUUGUUCGGAUUUACUGGGCGUAAAGCGCGCGUAGGCGGUUACUCAAGUCAGAGGUGAAAGCCCGGGGCUCAACCCCGGAACUGCCUUUGAAACUAGGUGACUAGAAUCUUGGAGAGGUCAGUGGAAUUCCGAGUGUAGAGGUGAAAUUCGUAGAUAUUCGGAAGAACACCAGUGGCGAAGGCGAUUGACUGGACAAGUAUUGACGCUGAGGUGCGAAAGCGUGGGGAGCAAACAGG
This 253-nucleotide ribosomal RNA is filed under the name uncultured bacterium. RNAcentral's name for it is "partial 16S ribosomal RNA". It matches the Rfam family "Bacterial small subunit ribosomal RNA", at positions 524 to 776 of the family's 1533-position model. The record is from RNAcentral.